UACAGAGGUCUCAAGCGUUGUUCGGAUUCAUUGGGCGUAAAGCGGGUGUAGGCGGUUCCUUAAGUCAGAUGUGAAAUCCUGCGGCUCAACCGCGGAACUGCAUCUGAUACUGGGGAACUUGAGGACGGUAGAGGUCGGUGGAAUACCCUGUGUACCGGUGAAAUGGGCAGAUAUAGGGUGGAACACCAGUGGCGAAGGCGGCCGACUGGGCCGAUCCUGACGCUGAGACCCGAAAGCCAGGGUAGCGAACCGG
This 253-nucleotide ribosomal RNA is filed under the name uncultured bacterium. RNAcentral describes it as "partial 16S ribosomal RNA". It matches the Rfam family "Bacterial small subunit ribosomal RNA", at positions 524 to 776 of the family's 1533-position model. The record is from RNAcentral.